UAGGGCGCGAGCGUUGUCCGGAUUUAUUGGGCGUAAAGAGCUCGUAGGCGGCUUGUCGCGUCGUCCGUGAAAACCCACAGCUCAACUGUGGGCUUGCGGUCGAUACGGGCGGGCUAGAGUUCGGUAGGGGAGACUGGAAUUCCUGGUGUAGCGGUGAAAUGCGCAGAUAUCAGGAGGAACACCGGUGGCGAAGGCGGGUCUCUGGGCCGAUACUGACGCUGAGGAGCGAAAGCGUGGGGAGCGAACAGG
Molecule: ribosomal RNA, 249 nt
Filed under: uncultured bacterium
Lineage: Bacteria
Description: partial 16S ribosomal RNA
Rfam family: Bacterial small subunit ribosomal RNA
Source: RNAcentral